CACCUGCUGCAUAAGGAAGCUCCCAGGCUAGGGGUCAAAUCAGAGUUGCAGCCGCCAGCCUACACCACAGCCACAGCAAUGCUGGAUCCGAGCCGCGUCUGCAACCCACACCACAGCUCACGGCAACACCGAAUCCCUAACCCACUGAGCAAGGCCAGGAAUCAAACUCCUAUCACAUUGGGUUUGUUACUGCUGAGCCACAAUGCAAAGUCCAAAGCCUUGGAUUUAAGCUUUGCCGGUGACUUCAAGAGAGAUGGCAAAAAAAAACCCUCUCUAUCAUACACCACAUAAACACACACACAGUAAUUUUUAUUAAGCCUUAUAUGGUGCUGAUUUCACGAACCGCUAAACCACGAUACAGUACUUAUUGCAAGGUAGGGUUCUUGUGAUGAGAAAAAAAAAAAAAAAUAUGGACAAACUGAAGUAAUGCUUGAAGUUAGCAUAAGGGGAUUUUCUAUUUCUGGAAGCCUGUCUGUCUGCUGCUGUUACUCUAAAAGAUGGAGUAUCCCUCUCCCCACUAUCAAACAGCCCUAUGCUAAAGUCAGUCAGGACAUAGAGGCAGGGGGCUGCACUGGGGCACCGCAAGUCCCAGGCCUGUUGCAAGAAGGCAGUGGAACAAGAGGCUGGGUGCCCUCUUAGGUGGCAGAGACACAAGGUCCCCACAGGGACAGCUUCGUGCGUUCUAAGGCAAGACACAGGAAAGGGUUGAGAGGACUUAGAACUGACGUCAGGUGAAGAUGAGGCUAAUGGAGCUGCUGUUAUGGGAGCCAUUGUUCCUAUGGUCAUUCCUGUGGAUACAAAUGCUCCAGGGUGGACAGCUUUGCUGGAGCAAAGUAGCCUUGUCAACAGUGUAAAAUAAAAAUGAAAAGAUAUUUCCAGAGUUCUCAACAUGGCUCAGUGGUUAACGAAUCUGACUAGCAUCCAUGAGGAUGCAGAUUCUAUCCCUGGCCUUGCUCAUUGGGUUAAGGAUCCAGGGUUGCCGUGAACUGUGGUAUAGGUCGCAGAUAUGGCUUGGGUCCUGCAUUGCUGUGGCUGCUGUGUAGGCUGGCAGCUACAGCUCCGAUUUGACCCCUAGUUUGAGAACCUCCAUAUGCUAUGGGUGCAGCCGUAAAAAGCAAAAAAAAAAAAGGUAUUUCCAUGGACUGGGAGUUUGGGGUUAGUAGGUGCAAACUAUUGCAUUUGGAGUAGAUAAGCAAUGAGAUCCUGCUGUGUAGCACAGGGAACUGUAUCUAAUCAUUUGUAAUGGAACAUGAUGGAGGAUAAUGAGAAAAAGAAUAUAUAUAUAUAGAUGACCGGGUCACUUUGCUAUACAGCAGAAAUUGACAGAACAAUAUAAAUCAAUUAUAAUAGAAAAAAGUAAAAACCUAAAAACUAAAAAAUAAGAAAAGAAAAAAAUGGAAGGUAUUUCCUACCCACUUACCAAUCCAUCUAGCCCACCCAUCUAGCCCACCCCUGCCUCUGCUGCCUCCCCAGUCCACACUACCCAACCUCCAUCAUCCAUUUCUCCUGCUCUGGAUGCAGCUUCCUAGGGUCAGAACACCUCCAUAUUGAACUGAAUUGUUGGCCCAUUCAACAUCCGGGGAAGAAGAGAAAGAAGAGACAAGAAACCUCUAUUGGAAAUUCCGGGAGCCUCAUCAUAAAUAGAUGAGACAAAUCCACAAAGAACAAGGGAUCUAGGCAACUAGAUACCGACUGAAAACUCAGUUGUUGUCAUGAUGACUGUUGGGUGGUAGAUACAUGGGAGUCCAUCGUUCUACUCUAUCUACUUCUGGAGGUGUUUGAAAUUUUCCAUAAGAAGAGAUAAAGAAGAGGCAGAGAAGGAGAAGAGGCAAAAGGGUGGGGGGAGAGGAAGUGGAGAACUUCACUAUCCCAACCGGACCAAUGGGCCACAGCUAACCCCAGCCUUUCUUUUUUUUUUUUUUUUUUGGUCUUACUGCCUUUACUAGGGCUGCUCCCUCGGUGUAUGGAAGUUCCCAGGCUAGGGGUCCAAUUGGAGCUGCAGCUGCCAGCCUACACCAGAGCCACAGCAACGCAGGAUCCAAGCUGUGUCUGCGACCUACACCACGGCUCACGGCAACGCCAGAUCCUUAACCCACUGAGCAAGGCCAGGGAUCGAACCCGCAACCUCAUGGUUCCUAGUCAGAUUUGUUAACCACUGAACCACAAUGAGAACUCCUAGACUUUCCUAAAGACCUUAACAGGGGAGCGGGUGCCUCAUUUAACCCAAAAUCUUCCCACUUCUGGUCCCAACCAAUCUGACCCAAUGCCCCAUUGGGACAAGGGUAGAUAAACCCAAGCCACAGCUGUCCAUCUGGCCCCCUCUUGUCCCCCCACCUCCCCUCCCCCACCCAAGAGACUCCCACGGCCUCUCCCUGAUCCUCUCAAGCAAUACAGUAGGCGGUGGUUGUUUUUAAUGCUUGGUUCAGGAUUCACAAUGAUAAGUGCUGUGAAGAAAAAAGGAGUUGAUCACUUCAUCCUUUCCUUUCUUCCUAGAGAUGUUUUCCCUGACUUCAAAGACCAUCUGUUUACCUUAGAUGAUUAGGGAGGAUUAAUGGAACUAAUUGUGUUAACAAUAUGACUGUCUUGCUGAAGCCUGCAAAUUGGCCCUGAUUCCCUGCAAUUGCCUCGAGAUUACCUCACCACCACCAAACCCAGUAAGCUUCCCUAUGACCAUGCUAGGCUGUGCCCCAGUAGCAAACCAGAGCGCAAGCUCAACACUGCAGGGAUGGAGGCUGGGACAGCCUCCCGAGAGUGAAACAAGCCUGCCAACCUCCCAGCAGUGCCAAGGAAAAGCCCACCAUCCAAUGCGCAUACUCUGGAAGUGCAAAGCUUGUCCACAUCAGCUGAGCCAGAUGCCCUGUGCUCACGCACCCCUGGGGCUGUAACCCUCUGGCUGGCAUCUGUUGUUACAAAGACUCCACCAGCACAGGAACAGAAACAGCUGCCCAGAGCACACAUGUCUCAGAUGCCUCUGUGGCUGCCAGCACCAGAACUGGGUGAGCCCUCAGAGGUGCAACUGGGCUUAGGCAACAACCUGGGAAAUAAACAAAACGCAGCCAGAGGAAGGUAGGGAAAACCUGAAGUUGUUUGUCAUAGACAGACAGACCGAAGAUGCUCUUCUCAGAAGCCUGCAAGGAGUAAACCAAGCAGCCUGGGGCUGGGGUGGGGGUGGGGGGGGAGGGCAUGGCCCACUCACGGCUGCCUUUCUGCCUCUCCCCUCCCCCUGAAUUUAUCACUGUGGAUGUGACUCCUGGGAUGUAACACAGACCCUAGUACCCAAUUAGCCAAAUAGAAGAAAAUCCACCACUGGCUUCUCGCAAGUCAAGUUACUCAGAUUCUUUAAUUUCCUAACUUCAGGGGACCCAAAGUUAGCAAGAAGCUUUCUGAGAGAGUGAAUUCAAUAGUUCAGCCCUUUGGUGUGAACUAUUUUCGAACAAAUUCCAACUUCUUUUCAUCCAGAAAGAGCAAAGGAUCAAAGUUACUGCUGAUCAACCUGGCAGCCCCAGGUGUGUUGUUUGAGGCAGUGGGAAGGAUGCGGCUGUCGGGCCAAGGUCUCAAGCCUUGAGAAUUGCUGUCUGGGAGUUCCACGCAAUGCUCAGGGCCCUAGUGGAGUUCAAUUCCUUCUCUGGCAGAUUCAAGAGCAAUCUCACUUACCUGGUGUUAUAUUUUGCUUGGGCUGUUACAUAUGAAUCAUAGGAUACGGAUAAUUAUUAACAUGAGUUUAUGUUCUGCCUAAGAGAAGCACUGCCAAAGUUAAAAGUUAAGAAACAACUCUCCUUACAGAGAGAGAAGGUUAAAAAGCAAACACUCCUAACCAAGAGAGAAAAGAGAAGUUGGUCUUAUGAGAAAGAUUUAGCCCCCGAUUAUGUCAUGGAUUCACACCUCUAACCCCACAGCAUCCCCAACUGCACCCUUCCCACCACUUCAGUGGCCAAGCCAGCUGAGUCAACCAGGUUGAAAGUGCAAAGCCCAGUGACACAAAGCUCUCUACUGCCCAGCAUCCUUACAGGGCCUCCACACCCAGGAAAAAGGAAGAAAGUAGCCAUGCAGAGCUGGGGAUCCUUGGCUGUUCUUCACGUCCAAUAACAAACUCAUCCAUAGACAACCUCCACAGUGCAGGCAGGAUGUGGGCCGCUCCAGCAGGAGCACGGCGGCCCUGACCUCAUCUGCUGGGACCACUAGUGGGCGCAUGAUUUUGGCUGCUUUCUAAUUUCUCAAGAGCCACAGCACUUCGCUCCAGGGUUGGCUCAAGUUUCAUUCUCUGGAAACCAGCUGCUCUUAAAAUGCCCUGGGCCUUCCCCAAACUAUAAAAUUACUCUUCUCCCCUCUGGAGAUGACUGGAACGUUAGCUUUCCUGUCUCUCUGUGCCUUUGUACACACUCGUAUUUUAUAUACACAAUAGCCGAUAUAUGCUGACUUGACACAAUUACUUCUGAAAAGAUAUAUACAAAGAACUGGGAAAGAGAGAGUGCUGGACAAGGGCCAGCACGCUUUGCAGCCCAUCCUCUCAGGCCCUACACUUGGAGCCAUCUCUCUGUGCUCCCACACUCUGCCCCUCUGACCUUAGCAGUCACCCCAAAAUCCUUCUUCAUAAGCUUCUGUGCCUACACUUUGGUUCCAUUUCCACCCCUGGUGCCAGUUCUCAUAGAAUCGCCUUCUAGAUCUUUCCUGACGCUCAGCACUCCUAAUCCCCUCCUGGAAAUCCAAUACACUGAUGUACAAUACAGUCGUCAUCAUGACAACCUCUUUAACCAAAACUUCCCUGUCCACAGGGUGACAUUCAGCCCCUCAACAUGGCAGCUCACUUCCUCUACACUGUCCCCCGUGUUCCCUGGGUGCCCCUGCAAAUGCCCAGCACUGAGAUAGGCUCACGUAGCCACCAUCCUGCCCAAGCACCCCCACACAAGUGCCUUACACUGGGCUCCAGUGCAUUCCUUCCCAGGACCCAGCCUGUCUCCUCCAGCAUUGUCCAUCUGAGCCAUCCCUCUGGGAUUGAGCAUCAUUGAGGUUGGCAGGAACUCUCUUCUCACCUGCACUACCCAUCCCCACAGGUAACUUUUCAGGGGCAUCGCCUACUCUAUAUCCACCCACCUCCCGAACCCCAUCCCUUGGCUUCUAGGCAACCCACAAAGGAGCUCCUUAAUAAACAUUUAUUUGCGGCUUGAUUUCACUCCAGGCUGUGAUGCUCCAUCUUUUCCUUUAGAAUCUGUAACUUAGGAGAGAGAAUUGCUUCAACUUCUAGGUGUUCAAUGUUGAAUAAAGUGACUCGACGUAAAUAAUAAUCUUGCGGUGCUACAGCUCCUUUCCAUCAAUCAACUGGUUUCUAAAUAAUUAUAAAAAGGUAGUGUGCCUACCGCCUAUGAGAUUACCAUAGGGCAUGGGUUGGUGGGGAGCUUGAAGGGGUGAAUUAACCCAGAUGAGCCUUUGAAGUUCUGAACACAGAAAAUCUCCAACCUCCCUACCCUGAGCUUGGCUCCCCAAACCCUAGAGGCUAAAGAUGCUGGCCUCUCUGCAGCCUGUGUUAGAUGAUGUCCCCAGAACUAAACAAGCUCUCUGGAGGUGUGGGAGCUGCAAGUAGGACCUCAUGAGAUUUCAGGUGGUUGUCAUGGGGGAGAAAGGCCCGGAGGCCAGGGUAAGAAACUAAAGUCCACUUGACCCAGGACAAUCUCUCGGAGCCUUAACUGCUUCAACCGUAAACUCCCACAGUGGCAGGGAAGAGCUCUGCAGCAAUCAUACCUAAACCAGAAUGUUUAGAAUAAACAAGAACUCAACAAAUGAAGAGAAGGAAGCUUUUGGUUUGAAAACUUCAAUGGGCCUUUGGGUCCUGGAUCAAGACGUAAGGAAUCCAAAAUAUGGCGCAAAUGAACCUAUCUACAAAACAGAAACAGACUCACGGACAUAGAGAACAGACAUGUGGUUGCCAAGAGGAAGGAGGGAGGGAGUGAAAUGGACUGGGAGUUUGGGAUUGGUAGAUGCAAACUAUUACAUUUAGAAUAGAUAAGCAAUGAGGGGAUGUCCAGUAUCUUGGGAUAGACAAUGAGGAAGAUAACAUGAGAAAAAGAAUGUAUAUAUAUGUAUGACUGGGUCACUAUGCCGUACAGCAGAAAUUGGCGCAACGUUGUAAAUCAACUAUACUCUAAUAAUAAUAAAAAAAAAAAAAA
Molecule: long non-coding RNA, 6161 nt
Filed under: Sus scrofa (pig)
Lineage: Eukaryota; Metazoa; Chordata; Mammalia; Artiodactyla; Suidae
Description: lncRNA (ENSSSCG00065002397.1)
Source: RNAcentral